CCUACGGGAGGCUGCAGUGGGGAAUAUUGGACAAUGGGGGCAACCCUGAUCCAGCCAUGCCGCGUGUGUGAAGAAGGCCCUCGGGUUGUAAAGCACUUUCAGUGAGGAAGAACGCCUGGUGGUUAAUACCCAUCAGGAAAGACAUCACUCACAGAAGAAGCACCGGCUAACUCCGUGCCAGCAGCCGCGGUAAUACGGAGGGUGCGAGCGUUAAUCGGAAUUACUGGGCGUAAAGCGCGCGUAGGUGGCUUGAAAAGCCGGUUGUGAAAGCCCCGGGCUCAACCUGGGAACGGCAUCCGGAACUGUCAAGCUAGAGUGCAGGAGAGGAAGGUAGAAUUCCCGGUGUAGCGGUGAAAUGCGUAGAGAUCGGGAGGAAUACCAGUGGCGAAGGCGGCCUUCUGGACUGACACUGACACUGAGGUGCGAAAGCGUGGGUAGCAAACAGGAUUAGAUACCCGUGUAGUC
RNAcentral lists this ribosomal RNA (465 nucleotides) under Vreelandella stevensii. Its description in RNAcentral is "partial 16S ribosomal RNA". It matches the Rfam family "Bacterial small subunit ribosomal RNA", at positions 338 to 795 of the family's 1533-position model. Lineage: Bacteria; Pseudomonadati; Pseudomonadota; Gammaproteobacteria; Oceanospirillales; Halomonadaceae. The record is from RNAcentral.